AACGAACGCUGGCGGCAUGCCUAACACAUGCAAGUCGAACGAGACCUUCGGGUCUAGUGGCGCACGGGUGCGUAGCGCGUGGGAACCUGCCCUUAGGUUCGGAAUAACUCCCCGAAAGGGGUGCUAAUACCGGAUAAUGUCUUCGGACCAAAGAUUUAUCGCCUUUGGAUGGGCCCGCGUUGGAUUAGCUAGUUGGUAGGGUAAAAGCCUACCAAGGCGACGAUCCAUAGCUGGUCUGAGAGGAUGAUCAGCCACACUGGGACUGAGACACGGCCCAGACUCCUACGGGAGGCAGCAGUGGGGAAUAUUGGAAAAUGGGCGAAAGCCUGAUCCAGCAAUGCCGCGUGAGUGAUGAAGGCCUUAGGGUUGUAAAGCUCUUUUAACCGGGAUGAUAAUGACAGUACCGGGAGAAUAAGCUCCGGCUAACUCCGUG
This 433-nucleotide ribosomal RNA is filed under the name uncultured bacterium. RNAcentral's name for it is "partial 16S ribosomal RNA". It matches the Rfam family "Bacterial small subunit ribosomal RNA", at positions 29 to 507 of the family's 1533-position model. The record is from RNAcentral.